RNAcentral lists this ribosomal RNA (518 nucleotides) under uncultured Desulfobacteraceae bacterium. RNAcentral describes it as "bacterial SSU rRNA". It matches the Rfam family "Bacterial small subunit ribosomal RNA", at positions 8 to 523 of the family's 1533-position model. Lineage: Bacteria; Pseudomonadati; Thermodesulfobacteriota; Desulfobacteria; Desulfobacterales; Desulfobacteraceae. The record is from RNAcentral.
AGAGUUUGAUCCUGGCUCAGAUUGAACGCUGGCGGCACGCUUAACACAUGCAAGUCGGACGGUAACAGGCCUUCGGGUGCUGACGAGUGGCGGACGGGUGAGUAAUGCGUGGGAAUCUGCCCACCAGUGGGGAAUAACGCAGGGAAACUUGCGCUAAUGCCGCAUAAUCUCUUUGGAGGAAAGCGGGGGACCUUAGGGCCUCGCGCUGGUGGAUGAGCCCACGUCGGAUUAGCUAGUUGGUGGGGUAAAGGCCUACCAAGGCGACGAUCCGUAGCCGGCCUGAGAGGGUGGACGGCCACACUGGGACUGAGACACGGCCCAGACUCCUACGGGAGGCAGCAGUGGGGAAUCUUGGACAAUGGGGGCAACCCUGAUCCAGCGAUGCCGCGUGUGUGAAGAAGGCCUGCGGGUUGUAAAGCACUUUUAUUGGGGAAGAAGGGGUUCUGGCUAAUAUCUGGAAUCAUUGACGUAACCCAAGGAAUAAGCACCGGCUAACUCCGUGCCAGCAGCCGCGGUAA